GAGUUUGAUCCUGGCUCAGAUUGAACGCUGGCGGCAGGCCUAACACAUGCAAGUCGAGCGGAUGAGUGGAGCUUGCUCCAUGAUUCAGCGGCGGACGGGUGAGUAAUGCCUAGGAAUCUGCCUGGUAGUGGGGGACAACGUUUCGAAAGGAACGCUAAUACCGCAUACGUCCUACGGGAGAAAGCAGGGGACCUUCGGGCCUUGCGCUAUCAGAUGAGCCUAGGUCGGAUUAGCUAGUUGGUGGGGUAAAGGCCUACCAAGGCGACGAUCCGUAACUGGUCUGAGAGGAUGAUCAGUCACACUGGAACUGAGACACGGUCCAGACUCCUACGGGAGGCAGCAGUGGGGAAUAUUGGACAAUGGGCGAAAGCCUGAUCCAGCCAUGCCGCGUGUGUGAAGAAGGUCUUCGGAUUGUAAAGCACUUUAAGUUGGGAGGAAGGGCAGUAAGUUAAUACCUUGCUGUUUUGACGUUACCAACAGAAUAAGCACCGGCUAACUUCGUGCCAGCCGCCGC
This 514-nucleotide ribosomal RNA is filed under the name uncultured Gammaproteobacteria bacterium. RNAcentral describes it as "bacterial SSU rRNA". It matches the Rfam family "Bacterial small subunit ribosomal RNA", at positions 9 to 518 of the family's 1533-position model. Lineage: Bacteria; Pseudomonadati; Pseudomonadota; Gammaproteobacteria. The record is from RNAcentral. RNAcentral also lists the same sequence under 1 other name.